Molecule: non-coding RNA, 2004 nt
Filed under: Pan troglodytes (chimpanzee)
Lineage: Eukaryota; Metazoa; Chordata; Mammalia; Primates; Hominidae
Source: RNAcentral
CUUUUUGAUACAGAGUUUCACUCCUGUUGCCCAGGCUGGAGUGCAAUGGCGCGAUCUUGGCUCAGCGCAACUUCCGCCUCCCAGGUUCAAGCGAUUCUCCUGCCUCACCCUCCCGAGUAGCUGGGAUUACAGGUGCACAAUAUCCAGCUGUGACAGGACAGUGGCUUCUUACAGCAGCUGAUUUCUGCCCGACUUCUGAUGUUUCUCCAGGAAAAAAGAGGAAACAGGGAUUUUUUUUUUCUGGGAAAUUGCCUCAUUGACAAAUGUCAGCAAUCAAUACUUUUUUCCAAAAUAUCAUGGAGGCCAAGAGUAUCUAUUUGUGAUCUGUAUCUGGUCAGUGGUUUGCAGCACCUUCUAGAAAUAAGGUGCCACACCCGGCGAAACCCCCUUCCCUCUAAUAAUAACUAUGGUUAUUGAACUCCUAUGACAUGCCACGCACAGACACCCAGUCUCCACAUUCCCAAAGAAGCAUGAUCUUGUAUAAAGAGGAUACCUGGACCGGGUGCUCAUGCCUGUAAUCUCAGCACUUUGGGAGGCCGAGGCUGGUGGAUCACCUGAGGUCAGGAGUUCAAGACCAGCCUGGCCAACAUGGUGAAACCCCCGUCUCUACUAAAAAUACAAAAAUUAGCCAGGCAUGAUGGCGGGCACCUGUAGUCCCAGCUACUCAGGAGGCUGAGGCAGGAGAAUCGCUUGAACCCGGGAGGCAGAGGUUGCAAUGAGCCAAAAUCAAGCCACUGCAUUCUAGUGUGGGCUACAGAGGGAGACUUCAUCUCAACUGAAAAAAAAAAAAAAAAAAAAAAAAAGACACCUGGAGAGGGAGGCCCAUAGCUAGUACCAGUGAGACACAGUACUGGGACCUUCUGGGAUACACUCCUCCUUCAAAACAGGACUCUUUUCUGUCUCUGGCUCCCAGAUGUGAGGGCUGAGGGGUUCCUGGCACCUCCCUCCCGUCCCCCCGCAACUUCCUCUCCCAAGAAGCCUUCCCUGAUUACUGCUAGUCUGGCCCACAUACACAGUCAAAUUGACCCAGCAAGAGCUCUGAUCCCAACUCCAAAUGUAGAUUUAUUGAAGAAACGCAGAGAGGUAGGCUGUUUGACCAUGGGAGAGCCACUUCACCCUUCUGAAUCAGUUUUUUCAACCAUAAAAUGAAAAUAAGGUAGAAUGAAGAUCUCACAGUGCUGUCUGUGGCAACUGAAACCAAAGGUGAUAACGACUGGAGCUCAGGACAGGCUGUUUCUCCAAGAGGAGUGUGAAGAAGUCCCGGGAAUCAACAUUUUGAGAGCAUCCCAGGGGCCUCUAAGAAUAUAUUACGGGCAAACACUUGUAGAGCACUUCAUUUCAUCCUCAAUCACCGUUACGAGGCAGACACAAUCAUCUCCGAGUGAAACUGAGGCUCACAGGGGCGGGCUCCGUUGCCGAAACUCACAGGGAGAGGCAGAGAAGCACCACGGUUCUAUAUCCAGGUUAUUUAACAGAAUUUAACUCAGCCAUCCAAGCUCUGAAAAACCCCAAGUGGGGAGGGGCUCAAAUAUCCCCUCACGCCCCGUCCCCUACAAUACAGGGAAACUGAGGCAUAAACCGGGCAACGCCCAGCUCCAGGUUACACGACACACCCAGAACACAGGAGGCCCCAAUUCCUAUGCCCCUGAUCCGGAUCCAGAUCCAGCCCGUAGCGCCGCCUGCGUAUCCAUUGAGCAGACGGGGAAACUGAGGCCUGUGCGCAGCAGGAAUGACCAGAUGUGGCCAGCGGCGCACCCCACCCCACCGCAGCCCGGGGGCCGCGCCCGACCCGGACCGGUUCCCCGCGGCCCUGGAGUCCCCAGCCCCACCCCAAACUCGGCCCCGGCGUCGGUAGCGGCGGCACCUGCACAUCUGGCGGCCUUGCUCGCGCUUCCGGGAUGGCGCCCGCGCCGGCGAAACGUCACCACGCACCGAUCGUGCGAGCGCGCGUGGCGGGGACGUACCCUGGAGCCGCUUGCGUGCGUUAAGUCACGACAGGAAAGG